CAGUAGCCACGGGAAUACGAAGGGGGCUAGCGUUGUUCGGAAUUACUGGGCGUAAAGCGCACGUAGGCGGAUAUUUAAGUCAGGGGUGAAAUCCCGCAGCUCAACUGCGGAACUGCCUUUGAUACUGGGUAUCUUGAGUAUGGAAGAGGUUAGUGGAAUUGCGAGUGUAGAGGUGAAAUUCGUAGAUAUUCGCAGGAACACCAGUGGCGAAGGCGGCUAACUGGUCCAUAACUGACGCUGAGGUGCGAAAGCGUGGGGAGCAAACAGGAUUAGAUACCCGCGUAGUCCCUGUCUCUUAUAC
Molecule: ribosomal RNA, 301 nt
Filed under: uncultured bacterium
Lineage: Bacteria
Description: partial 16S ribosomal RNA
Rfam family: Bacterial small subunit ribosomal RNA
Source: RNAcentral